AUAUAUCUUAAAUAAAUUCCAAUCAAGUCCUAAUUUAAUCUUAAAUGAAGCACUAAUGGACUUCAAUAAAAUCCUAGGCCAAUUCCUAAAUCUCAAAUAAAUUCUAAAUUCUAAAUCAAACUCUAAAUAAAUCCUAAAUCCUAAAUCAAAUCCUAAAAAAAUCCUAAAUCUUAAAUAAAAUUCUAAAAAAACUCUAAAUCUUAAAUCAAAUCCUAAAAAAACUCUAAACUUUAAAUCAAAUCCUAAAAAAAUCCUAAACCUUAAACCAAAUCCUAAAAAAAUCCUAAAUCCUAAACCAAAUCCUAAGGUAGAUUAGAAUCCUAAUAUCUAUUGAUUAAACCAUUGAUCUUGCUUGAAAAUUUAUACACCUCUCAAUAUCUUAGUUAAAAAAUAAUAUAAAAAAUUUAAAAAUAAUUUUACUUACCAAAUGAAAGAAAAAUCCUAAAAUCCAUUCAGGUAUUGGCAAGCCUCCUAUUCCAAUCUGAAUAUUAAACUUCUAGUGCUAAUAUCUCCUUUUCAAACCAUUCAAUUGUUUUCAAAUUUUACACAUGUGUAGCAAAUCAAAUUUAUUAUCCUUAUACAUAACUUUCACUUGAAUUCAACUAGUAGAUUGCUGAAAAUCUUAGAAAUCCUAAUUGCCUC
Molecule: long non-coding RNA, 642 nt
Filed under: Physcomitrium patens
Lineage: Eukaryota; Viridiplantae; Streptophyta; Bryopsida; Funariales; Funariaceae
Description: long non-coding RNA (PPAT_LNC006175)
Source: RNAcentral